Molecule: small RNA, 3186 nt
Filed under: Cryptococcus neoformans H99
Lineage: Eukaryota; Fungi; Basidiomycota; Tremellomycetes; Tremellales; Cryptococcaceae
Description: Cryptococcus neoformans var. grubii H99 hypothetical RNA
Source: RNAcentral
GCGCAUUAUACGUAGACAAGGUCGUAAAAAUCGUUAAAGCUCAUAUCUUUUCCCCAACAUCCCUCCUUUUGGUCACUUCUCCAAUUCUCCCUUUCACAGGCGCGGUCUUAUUUCGUACAGAUCCCGGCUUUUCUACAGGACUAUUAUCCAAUAUCCUUGAAUUUCCCCCUCCACCAGCUGCUGGCGCUCUCCUCACUCCUGCAGGCGCUUUGACAGAUUCGGGCGUCUCUAGCUUCUUCUUGUGUACCUCUUUCCCUGGUGUCGCGCUGCCCAAUUUGUCGAUAUCUACAUCCCCAUACUCUUUCCACACUUCGAAAAGAGCAGUGUCCAUACUUGGCAUAGUGGGGAUCCCUUUGCGCUGGGGUGUGCGAGUACUGAUCCGUGUGCGGGUACUCGUAGUAGUCCUCACGCUGGGGCUGGGACUUGGAGUACCCUUUGGUCGGAUAAUGGGUUUGACGCCAGUAGCCGAGGUAGCUCGUCCAUUUAUAGCAGUAGGCUUGGGAGUGAGUCGAAGCGUAGAGGUCGGGACAGGUUUACUCCCGACUGAGGCCGUUGUGCUCGGUUUGACAGUUGACUUGGCGACAGCACCAGGAUUGGCUUUCAACGACGGCGUCAAUGUCCCAGUACUAGUUUUUGGACCCAGACCCGACACCCUCGCCCGUCUAGCCGCUGUUGCCGCACUGAUCCCUGCCCCUGCUCCCGUGUUACCAGAUGCAGCAGAAUUCAUGUUGGCAUUAGCAACGGUAUUAGGAGGCGUAGACAUUCUGCCUCUGUCAACACCGGCUUUCACCCUUGAGCUUUCAGGGGUGGGAAUAGUAGAUGCGGUGGCACGAGCAACUGUCUUUGUCGGGUGAGCAGUGACAGUAGGCGAUGUGGCAUUGAGGGGAGUGAGGGAACGUCUGCCAAUGGUCACACUACCGGUCGACGCGGGCGUGGAUGCUCUUUUGGACUCCGUGGCAGUAUUCGUCCCAGACGCAGUGACAUUACCAGUUGAAAAGGUAGUACUCCAAGGCCUCUGCCUAGUCGAAGAAGACGGCCUGACUCUAAUCGUUUCUUUUCCUUCCUUCUCAUUAUCAUUGCCACGAUUCGUCGCCUGACUUACCGCCCGAUUCAUCGGCUGCGAAUCCAUAAUUGGCCCUCUUACUGAAGCGGGGCCCCAUAAUCUCGAAGCUGCCGAAACAUUUGACGCAACAGACCCGGCUCUGACCAUCGCAGGCGGCAUACCUCCCCUUCCUACUCCUCUUCUUACGACACUCUCCCCUUCUGACACGUACGCGUCGUCCACAUCUUUGUCGGCUGGUAACGGCCGGAGACGGUUGGCGAAUUUGGCGUUGGCAGAGGCGGUGGUGGUGGCGAGGCUGACAGCUCGAGGUUGAUGUCGUCGAGUAGCUGCGGCGGUAAUGGUGGUUGAGGCGAUAGCUGGAGCAGGCGUAGAUGCGGAAGAGUUAGUUGUCGGGGGAAGGGUAGACGAACGUUGAGCUGACGGUCGCGGUCUGACCGACGUCGUUACCUUUGCAUUUACAUUGCUGCUCGCACUCGACAAUGCUACACCGCUCAUCUUGGAAUCUGGUCUGCUGUCACUCUCUUUCUUGGUCUCGUCUAGCCUCGUUAAAUCAGAACCGGCCGCACCAGACACGCUUCGAUCGCGCGCGUUUUUGGGUACAGCCCUCUUCCUCGGCCUUGGCUCGGCAGGUAUCAAUAUAUCACCAUCCCUAAAUACAAAGCUCAUCACACUAUCCUCGUCAUCGUCGUCCUCUUCCUCUUCACCUUCACCACGUUCACCAUCUUCCCCGAGCCGCCCUCGUGCCGGCCCGAAAGUCUUUGAGCGCCUCGCAAACCCUCUCAGACCAUCCAGCCCAAGCGACUUAUCAUAUUGUGCGGGGGAGAGAUCACCCAUGGAACGGACUUUGGAAGGAGUCAAUUUGGAGGGUCCCGAGCGAUGAUGGGUUUGUAGUUGGACGCCGCCUGGAACGAAGUGGUUGUGCGGGGUACCGGGGAUUGUGGGGAGAGUAUGUGGUCUUGAUGAGGGUGACGUCCGGGGGAAACUGUUUCGGCCGGUCGCACUAUGAUGCUUGUUAGCCUCUUUAUUUCUGCAGGACAGAACAAGGAUCUGGAGAUCCGUCAGACUCGCCUCUUCCUGUCCUCCUCUUUUCCCUCAUCUUCAUCCAUAUGCCACGCCCAGACUCUCAUGAAUUUGUACAGGUUCCUCUCUCUUCCUCCUCCCUUCCGCCCAGCUCUAUUCCCGCUCUUCUUUUCAUCUUUUUUUGGAGACAUUGACAAGGGCAGCGUCGUUGUCCCCGUUUUGGCACAGAGAAGAGACAUAUCUGUGAACCUCACAACCCAAAGUUCAUCUUUACCCCCGCCUUGACCUUUGAGGAUGUCGCUCAGUUUACUUGAGCUUUUCUUUGGUCGCAUUGGCUUUGCGCAAUCUCUGGAAUUAGGCGGGUUGGUGGAUAAGGGGGGGCUAGCAACAGACGGAGAUACUUCGGAGAGGGGUGUUUCGCUAAUCAAAAGACGGUUGGAUUUCGGGACUAACAACAUCUGUUCACGAAACUUAAUAUUGAUUGCACAAUAUGUAAAAAAAAAAUCGAGCCAGCUCACUUUAUCACCAUCUAACCCUGCAAUCCUCCCCCAAAUAUCCCUUGCCGCCUCGCGCUCCUCCUCUUCAACCUUCUCAUCUUCUAAAGCCCUUACCACUCCCUCAAUCUCCUCAACCAUCUCCACCGUCUUCUCAUACUCUUUCAAACUAGGAUCAGUAUGAUAUAGUAGGUUUUGGAACAUGAGCGGGUAUUUGAGCAGCCGUUGAAAAGGUUUAGAUAGCGAGAUGAGCAGACCUGGUGAGCCAGAGGCGAGUGCGAGGGAUUCGAGGUGGGUGAGAUAAGCUGUCAGGGCGCUAGGAUGGCGGGCGGAAGAGGAGCGUGCGGAGGGAAAGGAGGCACGUUUGGGUUUGGGGAAUGAGGUUGGUGGGGGAGGGUGAGAGAGUGAGAGGGCGUUAGACACUUGUUGUAAGGCUUUCUCGAGGUGGAGGACGUAGAUGCUGUAUUGUCGUAACACGUAUGACUGUAUGUCAGUAGAAAUUUAUCAAAACGGAACUUACAUGUGCGAUGAAAACAUCUGCCAGGCUUCUGACAAGGGGGUACUGAUCAUCAUAUCUUCUUCUUAAUGCUGCGGUCAACUUCAAAUGUC